GCCUACGGGGCGUAGCAGUGAGGAAUAUUGGUCAAUGGGCGGGAGCCUGAACCAGCCAAGUCGCGUGAGGGAAGACGGUCCUAUGGAUUGUAAACCUCUUUAGGCGGGGAGCAAUGCCGGGCACGCGUGCCCGGAGGGAGAGUACCCGCAGAAUAAGCAUCGGCUAACUCCGUGCCAGCAGCCGCGGUAAUACGGAGGAUGCGAGCGUUAUCCGGAUUUAUUGGGUUUAAAGGGUGCGUAGGCGGAUUUUUAAGUCAGCGGUAAAAUGUCCGGGCUCAACCCGGGCAGGCCGUUGAAACUGGGGG
This 305-nucleotide ribosomal RNA is filed under the name uncultured bacterium. Its description in RNAcentral is "bacterial SSU rRNA". It matches the Rfam family "Bacterial small subunit ribosomal RNA", at positions 337 to 639 of the family's 1533-position model. The record is from RNAcentral.